GGUGUGCCUGACCAUGCUUGCAAGAUCGUGGUCAGGGUGAUGUAGAGUGAGACUUUCAGGGGACUGCAUUUCUCUUUCGGUUUCACUUUUGUACUUGCUGGACAGACUGCUGCCACGCCGGCUGGCUAGGUUGCUCUGGUCUGCGUAUGUCACACAGGUUGGCUUGGAACUAUGUAACCCAGGCUGCCUUAGCCUCCAAGAUGUGUUUAAAUUACAGGCAUGAACCACCACAACCCUCCACCUCUGUUUUCUCUCAGAAUAAACACAUCCAGAAAAACAAGCAAAUGAGGGAUGUUCAAGACUACCGUUUGACACCAGAGUCACUGAGGACCCUAUCAAAGCAAUGGCCCCAUCAUAACUAAUCACUUUAAUAUGAACUCAAUCCAUUCUAGCUGGAAAUGUGAGAGAACAAACAUCAGCUACUGGUUCUUCAUGUUGGGAGGGAGGUCAGGUGGUUAGGCGUUUCUGAUCCCUAGCACAGCUUCAGUAGAUCACCACAGUUUACAAACAAAUGCCAUGAGCACAGAGGGAGCAGAG
This 537-nucleotide long non-coding RNA is filed under the name Cricetulus griseus (Chinese hamster). RNAcentral's name for it is "lncRNA (ENSCGRG00015041467.1)". The record is from RNAcentral. Lineage: Eukaryota; Metazoa; Chordata; Mammalia; Rodentia; Cricetidae.